This 253-nucleotide ribosomal RNA is filed under the name uncultured bacterium. RNAcentral's name for it is "partial 16S ribosomal RNA". It matches the Rfam family "Bacterial small subunit ribosomal RNA", at positions 524 to 776 of the family's 1533-position model. The record is from RNAcentral.
UACGUAGGGGGCAAGCGUUGUCCGGAUUUAUUGGGCGUAAAGAGCGUGUAGGCGGUUAGGUAGGUCCGUUGUGAAAACUCGAGGCUCAACCUCGAGACGCCGAUGGAAACCCCCUAACUGGAGUCCGGAAGAGGAGAGUGGAAUUCCUGGUGUAGCGGUGAAAUGCGCAGAUAUCAGGAAGAACACCCGUGGCUAAGGCGGCUCUCUAGUACGGUACUGACGCUGAGACGCGAAAGCGUGGGGAGCGAACAGG